AGUAGUGGCGAGCGAAAGCGCAGGAGCCCAAACCAAGGUGCUUGCACCUUGGGGUUGCGGGACCGGGUCGUGGUACCAGGACGGUUAGGCGAAGGAGCUGGAAAGCUCCACCACAGCGGGUGAAAGUCCCUUAGCCGAAAGCCCUACUGGACCUACCGGCAUCCCAAUUAGGACGGUGCACGUGAAACGCCGUCUGAAUCCGGGGGGACCACCCUCCAAGGCUAAACACUCCCUGAUGACCGAUAGUGAACGAGUACCGCGAGGGAAAGGCGAAAAGAACCGCUGCUAGCGGAGUGAAACAGACCUGAAAUCGUGCGUCCACAAGCUAUGGAAGCGUCAUUCGUGACGCGACCGUUUGCCUUUUGCAUAAUGAGUCCGCGAGUCAACGUAGCGAGCGAGGCUAACCGAAAGGGGAGCCGAAGCGAAAGCGAGUCCGAACAGGGCGAUCCCAGUUCGUUGCGUUGGACCCGAAGCCCAUGCGAGCUAUCCUUGGACAGCGUGAAGCCUCCGUAACAGGAGGUGGAGGUGCGAACGAGUGACCGUUGAAAAGGUCUUCGAUGAGCUGAGGAUAGGAGCGAAAGACUUAUCAAGCUGGGUAAUAGCUGGUUCUCUCCGAAAUGCCUUUAGGGGCAGCCUCGGACAACACUUCCGCUGGGUGUAGAGCACUGAUCGAUCUAGGGUCCCUACCGGGAUACCGAAGUCCGUCAAACUCCGAAGACCAGCGCGAUUGCAUAUCCGGGAGUGAGACAGUGGGGGCUAAGCUUCAUUGUCGAAAGGGAAACAGCCCAAGACCGCCGAAUAAGGUCCCAAAUCUGCGUUAACACACUAAGGCAGUGAAGUCUCUCAGACAGGUAGGAUGUUGGCUUAGAGGCAGCCAUCAUUUAAACAGUGCGUAACAGCUGACUACUCGAGAGACUCCGCGCCGAAAAUGAUCGGGAGUCAAACGCAGAACCGAAUUCGCGGGCCGCACCUCUGGUGCGACGGUAGGAGAGCGUAAUAGUCCGGGUUGAAGCGGUGCGCGGAAGCGGCCGUGGACUGACUAUUAGUGAUUAUGCGGACAUGAGUAACGAAAAACCGGGUGGAAAUCCCGGUCGCCGGAAUCCCAAGGCUUCCCGGGGCAGGUUCGUCCGCCCGGGGUCAGUCGGGACCUAAGACGAGGCCGAAAGGCGUAGUCGAUGGACAGCAGGCUAACAUUCCUGCACAUGUGGGGGUUUAAGUUCGGAUUGGAGAAGGACAGUGACGGGGGUCAAUGGUUAUCCCCUGGGGCUCGGGGCAACCGGGUUUCCGAGCUUCCGGUACGCCGGGAGCAAGGCCAUGCGUCCAUGCUUCCCAGAAAAGUCCUUACGCAUUAACCCGCAUCCCGUACCAAAACCGACACAGGUGGGAGGGUACAAGGAUACCAAGGCGCGCGAGAGAAACCUCGUUAAGGAACUCGGCAACAUAGCCCCGUAACUUCGGGAGAAGGGGUCCUCUGGGGUAAUGCCCAGAGGGGCACUAAAUGGGCCCAUGCGACUGUUUAACAAAAACAUAGCACUCUGCGAACGCGCAAGCGGAUGUAUAGAGUGUGACACGUGACCAAUGCGGAAAGGUCAAGGCAAGGGGUCAGCCGCAAGGCGAAGCUCCGAACCAAAGCCCCCGUGAAUGUCGGCCGUAACUAUAACGGUCCUAAGGUAGCGAAAUUCCUUGUCGGGCAAGUUCCGACCUGCACGAAUCGUGUAACGCUGUGGGCGCUGUCUCAACGAGGAUCUCGGUGAAGUUGUAAUGCCGGUGAAAAUGCCGGAUACCCGCAGAAGGACGGAAAGACCCCAUGAACCUUUACUGUAUCCUGGUACUGGAUUCUGGUUGAGUAUAUGUAGUAUAGCCGGGAGGCUUGGAAGCGUUCUCGUCAGGGAGCGUGGAGCCGCAAUGUGAAAUACCGGUUUUGCUCAGGCGGAGUUCUAACCCUUAGCCGUCAUCCGGCGAGGGAACAAUGCCAGGGGGUCAGUUUGACUGGGGCGGUUUCCUCCCAAACAGUAACGGAGGAGUUCGAAGAUCGGCUCAGCACGGUCGGCAAUCGUGCGUCGAGCGCAAGGGUAGAAGUGUGCCUCACUGCGAGACGGACACGUCAAGCAGACGCGAAAGCGGGACCUAGUGAUCCGGCGGUGGCUUGUGGAAGCGCCGUCGCUCAACGGAUAAAAGG
This 2179-nucleotide ribosomal RNA is filed under the name wastewater metagenome. Its description in RNAcentral is "bacterial LSU rRNA". It matches the Rfam family "Bacterial large subunit ribosomal RNA", at positions 242 to 2463 of the family's 2925-position model. The record is from RNAcentral.